AUACGGAGGGUGCAAGCGUUAAUCGGAAUUACUGGGCGUAAAGCGUACGUAGGCGGUUAUUUAAGUCAGAUGUGAAAGCCCCGGGCUUAACUUGGGAACUGCAUUUGAAACUGGGUAACUAGAGUUUAGUAGAGGGGAGUGGAAUUCCAGGUGUAGCGGUGAAAUGCGUAGAGAUCUGAAGGAACACCAGUGGCGAAGGCGACUCCCUGGACUAAAACUGACGCUGAGGUACGAAAGCGUGGGUAGCAAACAGGAUUAGAAACCCUAGUAGUCC
RNAcentral lists this ribosomal RNA (274 nucleotides) under uncultured bacterium. RNAcentral's name for it is "partial 16S ribosomal RNA". It matches the Rfam family "Bacterial small subunit ribosomal RNA", at positions 523 to 796 of the family's 1533-position model. The record is from RNAcentral.